GAAAAUAGGUGUAAGCAGGGGGGGGAAAAGGUGGGGUGUAAGGGUUGUACGAGGUGAUUGGGCGGAAAGAGCUCGUGGGCGGUUAGGUAAGUGUGGGUUGAAGACUCCAGGCUUAACUUGGAGGCGACACCCGAGACUGGUCUGACUUGAGGUCGGUAGGGGAGUGGGGAAUUCCUGGUGUAGCGGUGAAAUGCGAAGAUAUCAGGAGGAACACCGGUGGCGAAGGCGCCACUCUGGGCCGAAACUGACGCUGAGGAGCGAAAGCGUGGGUAGCAAACAGGAUUAGAUACCCCAGUCGUC
RNAcentral lists this ribosomal RNA (300 nucleotides) under uncultured Fodinicurvata sp. RNAcentral describes it as "bacterial SSU rRNA". The stretch from base 55 to 300 matches the Rfam family "Bacterial small subunit ribosomal RNA", at positions 551 to 795 of the family's 1533-position model. Lineage: Bacteria; Pseudomonadati; Pseudomonadota; Alphaproteobacteria; Rhodospirillales; Rhodovibrionaceae. The record is from RNAcentral.